Molecule: ribosomal RNA, 468 nt
Filed under: uncultured bacterium
Lineage: Bacteria
Description: partial 16S ribosomal RNA
Rfam family: Bacterial small subunit ribosomal RNA
Source: RNAcentral
GACGAACGCUGGCGGCGUGCUUAACACAUGCAAGUCGAACGGAAAGGCCCUGCUUUUGUGGGGUGCUCGAGUGGCGAACGGGUGAGUAACACGUGAGUAACCUGCCCUUGACUUUGGGAUAACUUCAGGAAACUGGGGCUAAUACCGGAUAGGAGCUCCUGCUGCAUGGUGGGGGUUGGAAAGUUUCGGCGGUUGGGGAUGGACUCGCGGCUUAUCAGCUUGUUGGUGGGGUAGUGGCUUACCAAGGCUUUGACGGGUAGCCGGCCUGAGAGGGUGACCGGCCACAUUGGGACUGAGAUACGGCGCAGACUCCUACGGGAGGCAGCAGUGGGGAAUAUUGCACAAUGGGCGGAAGCCUGAUGCAGCAACGCCGCGUGCGGGAUGACGGCCUUUGGGUUGUAAACCGCUUUCGCCUGUGACGAAGCGUGAGUGACGGUAAUGGGUAAAGAAGCACCGGCUAACUACGUG